Molecule: unclassified non-coding RNA, 337 nt
Filed under: soil metagenome
Description: partial contains 5.8S ribosomal RNA, internal transcribed spacer 2, and large subunit ribosomal RNA
Rfam family: 5.8S ribosomal RNA (bases 1-120)
Source: RNAcentral
GAUGAAGAACGUAGCGAAAUGCGAUAAGUAAUGUGAAUUGCAGAAUUCAGUGAAUCAUCGAAUCUUUGAACGCACAUUGCGCCCGCCAGUAUUCUGGCGGGCAUGCCUGUUCGAGCGUCAUUUGUACCUUCAAGCUCUGCUUGGUGUUGGGUGUUUGUCUCGCCUUUGCGUGUAGACUCGCCUUAAAACCAUUGGCAGCCGGCGUAUUGAUUUCGGAGCGCAGUACAUCUCGCGCUUUGCACUCAGAACGACGACGUCCAAAAGUACAUUUUUACACUCUUGACCUCGGAUCAGGUAGGGAUACCCGCUGAACUUAAGCAUAUCAAUAAGCGGAGGA